This is a long non-coding RNA of Beta vulgaris subsp. vulgaris (sugar beet), 1007 nucleotides long. RefSeq lists it as uncharacterized. The record is from RefSeq and is a predicted model, not a curated record. The transcript has 2 exons. NCBI's taxonomy places the organism in Eukaryota, Viridiplantae, Streptophyta, Magnoliopsida, Caryophyllales, Amaranthaceae.
UAAUAAUUUCUCCCAAAGGCCAAAACCCUAACUUAAUCACUAUCCCUCUUUUCCCAGCCAAGCAGCCACCAUCUCCAUUCUCCAGUCUGACGGUAUCCCUCUUCAGUUCUUCCUCGCCGGGAAACGCUUAAGUCGCCGGAAAAAGAAGCCAGAUAAGUAAACUAAACUCUUCUUAAUUUACUUUGUCAUUAAAUUUAAUUUUUUUUGUAAGAAUUCAAUUUGUCAAAUGAUGAAUUUUGUUUAGUCGAUUAAAUGAAUGUAUAAUCCUACUGCUACACUUUGAUAAUGAUAAUAUAUGAUGUAUAGUGAGAAUCCAUGAUCUAAGCGACAUAGUUGUCAGCAUCCUCUUCAAGGGGAUAUAUGUUGUAGAUGUCUCCUUUGUAAUUUGACUUUCUUUGGCACUAGUUGAUCAAUGGUAAGUACAAUCUGAAAUUUCAUUUUAAGAGCAUGAUGUUAGAAAUUUGAAUGUUGUUUUGGCUUGGAAUGUUAUAUCAAUUUGCAAUUUCUUUUAUCUAUCAAGCUGUAAUACUGUACAUAUGGUGAAAUGGUGAAUUUGUUGAAUUUUUUUUUUAUUUUAGGGAAUGGAAGGUGAUGAAUCUGGAUAUGAAUCUUCAUUUCCUUGCUCAACUCCUUCUACAGCUUCUCCGUCUCCUUCUCAAGUUCGCAAUGGAAUAUAUAUGCAUCAUCCUAAUGGAAGAGCAGCAAUUUUCAACAAAGUUAUGAAAGUUUUCAGUUUCAAAGAAUACUCAUGGUUUUUACAUCCACCAAGUAACACCAUGGAGAUUAAUCAGUUCCACACCGUUGAUUACAUAUUUGAAGUUGAUUGGGCUGAUGAGUGUGCGUGGAUUUUCAAGAAAAUUAGUUAAUGUCAACAAAAAAGUAGUUACAAAUGCAAUUUCAAUACUUAUACUUAUUUAUUAAAGUGUUUUUAAAUACUAUUUGAUUGUAUUUCAAAGAAUCUUAUUCACAAAAUGGAUGUGAACUUAAAUACUAACUUGCAUUUGCUU